UUCUGUUUUUGUUUUGGGGAAAUAGAAUGAUAUAAGUAUGAUAUAUCAUACCUAAGGUACCCAGGGAACACAAAUCAAAAGGCGGCAUUAUUUGGUGGCCGGUAUCGCCAUUUAUAAGACAGAAAACGCACAAAAAUUAUGUACUUCCUGGAGAGAUUCGAUUCGAUUCUUAUUGGUAAAGGAGGGACGGAGGACUUUACACACGAACGAGCACAUAUAUUGUAUAUUCUCAUUCCGUCUACAUGGCUAUGUUGUCAAGAGUACAAACUAUUUGUGGGUUCAUUUGUGGUGGAAGGGAAAAAGUACGUAUAAAACUUACAGACUAUGCAGAUUCAUAAGUUGCAUAAAUAAAAUUGGACGGUUCCGGUUCCUUCAACGUGCGAUUCCA
RNAcentral lists this small RNA (388 nucleotides) under Drosophila pseudoobscura pseudoobscura. RNAcentral describes it as "GA30858". Lineage: Eukaryota; Metazoa; Arthropoda; Insecta; Diptera; Drosophilidae. The record is from RNAcentral.